This is a long non-coding RNA of Syngnathoides biaculeatus (alligator pipefish), 430 nucleotides long. RefSeq lists it as uncharacterized. Lineage: Eukaryota; Metazoa; Chordata; Actinopteri; Syngnathiformes; Syngnathidae. The transcript is spliced from 3 exons. The record is from RefSeq and is a predicted model, not a curated record.
CUCUGGCGAUGAAGCCCUGCAACUCCUUCAUGUAGAGUGAGCACACGACGUCGGGCUUAUCCGGAUUGGGCAGCUUCCUGCAACGCGCGCAGAAGGAACCAUUUCAAAUGAGUGCACGAAUGAUCCCGUUACCUUGGCAACAGCCUGCUGCAGACGAUGGAGGGAGUUGACCACGGCAGUGUUCCUCCUCUGGCCUUCGGAUAACGGACCAAUCACCUGACUGGCCUCACUCCGAGUACAUAACUACAGCAGUAAAGAAAAUUACCAGUGGAUGAAUUAUCGCCAUCACUGAGGUGGGCCUUGUGCACUUUCUUACCUGAAUCUCCGUCCCCUGCUCCAGCAGUCGCUUGGCUUGGUUCUCCACCUCAAGCCUUGCUCUACUGAUCAGUACCAGAUCGUUCUCAAUCACCUCAAUCCCGCUCAGAUCCAC